UUCUUGGCCAGCAGUAUCCCAGAUCUGGGCCUUGACGCUCUUGUGCUGAAUAACCAAGGUCCUAGUCUGAAACUCAACUCCGAUAGUAGCCUUAGAGUCUAAAUUGAACUCAUUCCUUGCAAAUCGAGCGAGUAUUUGCGAUUUCCCCACAGCGGAAUCCCCAAUCAGCACAACCUUGAACACGUAGUCUAUCUUCUGGCUCGGAUCUCCGUACCCUCCUCCACUCGCCAUUACCACUCUCAAACCUCUCCCUCUAAAGAACCAGAAAGCUCAAUUUCUCUCUUUAUAUCUCUCUGUGUAACAAGAAGAACAGCGAGAGAGAUCGAUGAAUCAAAGAAGAAGAAGAAGAAGAAGAAGA
This 358-nucleotide unclassified non-coding RNA is filed under the name Hevea brasiliensis (rubber tree). The record is from RNAcentral. Lineage: Eukaryota; Viridiplantae; Streptophyta; Magnoliopsida; Malpighiales; Euphorbiaceae.